GCGUGAGUGAUGAAGGCCUUAGGGUUGUAAAGCUCUUUUACCAGGGAUGAUAAUGACAGUACCUGGAGAAUAAGCUCCGGCUAACUCCGUGCCAGCAGCCGCGGUAAUACGGAGGGGGCUAGCGUUGUUCGGAAUUACUGGGCGUAAAGCGCGCGUAGGCGGCUUUGUAAGUUAGAGGUGAAAGCCCGGAGCUCAACUCCGGAACUGCCUUUAAGACUGCAUCGCUAGAAUCAUGGAGAGGUGAGUGGAAUUCCGAGUGUAGAGGUGAAAUUCGU
This 275-nucleotide ribosomal RNA is filed under the name uncultured bacterium. Its description in RNAcentral is "partial 16S ribosomal RNA". It matches the Rfam family "Bacterial small subunit ribosomal RNA", at positions 399 to 691 of the family's 1533-position model. The record is from RNAcentral.